UGCAACCCGACUCCAUGAAGCUGGAUUCGCUAGUAAUCGCGCAUCAGCCACGGCGCGGUGAAUACGUUCCCGGGCCUUGUACACACCGCCCGUCAAGCCAUGGAAGCCGGGGGUGCCUGAAGUGCGCUGCCGCGAGGAGCGCCCUAGGGUAAAACCGGUGACUGGGGCUAAGUCGUAACAAGGUACC
This 187-nucleotide ribosomal RNA is filed under the name uncultured bacterium. RNAcentral's name for it is "partial 16S ribosomal RNA". It matches the Rfam family "Bacterial small subunit ribosomal RNA", at positions 1306 to 1500 of the family's 1533-position model. The record is from RNAcentral.